This 1525-nucleotide long non-coding RNA is filed under the name Homo sapiens (human). RNAcentral describes it as "HSALNT0329606". The record is from RNAcentral. Lineage: Eukaryota; Metazoa; Chordata; Mammalia; Primates; Hominidae.
CCACCUCCAACACUGGGGACUUCAAUUCGACGUGAAGUUUGGGCAGGACACAGGUCUAAACCAUACCACAUACCUUGACUGGGCUUUCUUGAUUUUAAAUGUGAUCUCCUGAGCGUGAGUGCAAGCUCUUGCGGAAUGUGUGGUUUGCCCCACCGAGUGAGUUGCUUGAGAACAGGAACUGGCUCUUACUGCUCUCCAGCCCCAAGCUCAUUACCUGGCACCUGCUAGGCCCCUUUAAAUUGUUAUUCAAUGAAGUAUUUGAGAAAUUAGAUGAGGAGAAAACCAAGACAACUCAGGCUCUGCACAAGAUCACAUAGUCUGCAUAGAGUCCAAUACUACUAACGUCCUGGGUACACAGAUGAAUGCGGGAUCAGAGCCGAGUACAGCGUGUCAGUCCUUAUGUGCACAUCCACAAUUCUACGGGAAGCUAAAGCCCACAAUAGUUGUAUGAGAUAUCACCCCUUCCUCCAAAUCCCAGGUUCUCAUCAGAGCAGGUGCUGCCUGUUGAAGGUGAAGGAGAUCACUGCCGGCACUGCUGCCGAUGUUCCAGUUCUCCCCCAUCCUGUGUGUGGGGUGGGGUGAGCAGGGCUGGCUUUGCCCUUUGGCCUUCUUUCAGCCUGGUUUGCUGGUGCAGCAGUUUGCCUCCCUUCUGGGUUCAGUGUGAAGCAGUUCAUCCUUCCCAGCUGAAGUUCAAAAGGUUAAAAGUCUUUCGAGGACCAAAUGUCUUCCAAGGGAACAGAAAAGAAGGCUGUCCUGAGGUUGUCAGUCUGGCCUGACUCAGCACAGCUUGAGCCAGGAUAUUUGGGGUGGUUCUCUUCAAUUAGCUGGAUUCUGUUUUCAUUUCGACGUUAGGAGCGGAAGUUGCUGGGACAGAUUCUGGAAAUGGAGCCAGGGCUAUUUCUGUAUAAGGAGCCAGGAGCAUGGAAAGUUUAAGCAAGUUGCGCAAGGUCAUGGAGCUGAUGAGAGAGAGCUGGGAUUUGAAUUAAGGCAUGGUCUGUUUCCAUACUCCCUGCUCUCUAUCACUAAUUCCCCAUAACUCUAGAAAAUGAAACAGCUACAGAAGAAACAGAUGUCUGAGCUUGAGGACACCAAUUUCACAUUAUAGGAUCAGUGAAUUUGGAGAUAGGGAGCAGCUGGCUGAGGGAGGAGCGCCCCAGCAUCUGUAUUGAUGGAGAAGAAACCCGGCUGGGUCCAUGGGGACCCACAGCUGCCACCAUCAAAGCCUCAUCCAGCAUAGGCCGGAGCAAGGAAUACCUUUACAGGUAUAAAGUGCUGGAGUCGGCGUUAUGAUCACCGUGUCACUGAUGGGAAACGGAGCCUGCGUGGAGUGAAAUAACUUGCUCAUAGUGACACAGCACUGGGCCAGGAACCCUGCUGUCCUGCCUGGAGUCCAUGUCCCAUGCCCUGGAUCAGUGUGGACUGUAAAAGUGGUAUUUAUUAAUUUAUAUUUGAAUCAUGGCAUUGAAAAAGAAAACCGGCUGAUCCAGCAUUUUCCAAAAUGUAUCCUAAGACUCUAGGUCCUCAA